CCUAUACAUGCAAGUCGAGCGAACAGACGAGGAGCUUGCUCCUCUGACGUUAGCGGCGGACGGGUGAGUAACACGUGGAUAACCUACCUAUAAGACUGGGAUAACUUCGGGAAACCGGAGCUAAUACCGGAUAAUAUAUUGAACCGCAUGGUUCAAUAGUGAAAGACGGUUUUGCUGUCACUUAUAGAUGGAUCCGCGCCGCAUUAGCUAGUUGGUAAGGUAACGGCUUACCAAGGCAACGAUGCGUAGCCGACCUGAGAGGGUGAUCGGCCACACUGGAACUGAGACACGGUCCAGACUCCUACGGGAGGCAGCAGUAGGGAAUCUUCCGCAAUGGGCGAAAGCCUGACGGAGCAACGCCGCGUGAGUGAUGAAGGUCUUCGGAUCGUAAAACUCUGUUAUUAGGGAAGAACAAAUGUGUAAGUAACUAUGCACGUCUUGACGGUACCUAAUCAGAAAGCCACGGCUAACUACGUGCCAGCAGCCGCGGUAAUACGUAGGUGGCAAGCGUUAUCCGGAAUUAUUGGGCGUAAAGCGCGCGUAGGCGGUUUUUUAAGUCUGAUGUGAAAGCCCACGGCUCAACCGUGGAGGGUCAUUGGAAACUGGAAAACUUGAGUGCAGAAGAGGAAAGUGGAAUUCCAUGUGUAGCGGUGAAAUGCGUAGA
This 664-nucleotide ribosomal RNA is filed under the name Staphylococcus sp. Its description in RNAcentral is "bacterial SSU rRNA". It matches the Rfam family "Bacterial small subunit ribosomal RNA", at positions 48 to 694 of the family's 1533-position model. The record is from RNAcentral. Lineage: Bacteria; Bacillati; Bacillota; Bacilli; Caryophanales; Staphylococcaceae.